CAUGUAGGCGGAUUGAUAAGUUUGAAGUGAAAUCCUAUAGCUUAACUAUAGAACUGCUUUGAAAACUGUUAAUCUAGAAUGUGGGAGAGGUAGAUGGAAUUUCUGGUGUAGGGGUAAAAUCCGUAGAGAUCAGAAGGAAUACCGAUUGCGAAGGCGAUCUACUGGAACAUUAUUGACGCUGAGAUGCGAAAGCGUGGGGAGCAAGCA
This 207-nucleotide ribosomal RNA is filed under the name uncultured bacterium. RNAcentral's name for it is "partial 16S ribosomal RNA". It matches the Rfam family "Bacterial small subunit ribosomal RNA", at positions 568 to 774 of the family's 1533-position model. The record is from RNAcentral.